Parasteatoda tepidariorum (common house spider) is the source of this 616-nucleotide non-coding RNA. The record is from RefSeq and is a predicted model, not a curated record. NCBI's taxonomy places the organism in Eukaryota, Metazoa, Arthropoda, Arachnida, Araneae, Theridiidae.
GAGUCAAUUUUUUUAAGGCCUCAGUUGUCCAGUACCAUUACAACGAACGAGUCGAUUUUUUCGGUGUUACAAAGAUAAAUAAUGUGUCCAUGAUUUGAAGUUUGUGUGCCCUGCAAUUGUGAAGUUAGAUUCGAUCAGAUAUUCAUUCAGAUUACGUGGAAAAUAUUUGGUUUAAUGGAGAAUAUAUCUGUAGAUGCGACUACAAUAAUGAUGGUGGAAACGUUUGCUAAAUGUAUGGAAAGACCUACUGUAUUUGGCGAUGCGACUACAAUAAUGAUGGUGGAAUAGUUUGCCUAAAUGCAUGGAAAGACCUACUCUAUUUGGAGAUGCGACUACAAUAAUUACUGGAAAUAUUCGACUAGAUGUGUUGGUUUAUCUGGAGACGAGACAAUGAAAAUAUUUGGCUGGAUAUGCAUCUGAAGUGUAUAUGAAGAAAAGGAUUUCCAUCCAGGUUACAUGGAAAAUGGAUGUGGUUUUAUGGAGAAUAUAUCUGGAGAUGCGACUACAAUAAUGAUGGUGGAAAUAUUCGGCUAGAUGUUUGAGUUUAUCUGGAGACGAGACAAUGAAAAUAUUUGGCUGGAAAUGCAUCUAAAGUGCUUUUAAAGAAAAGGGUGAG